CCUCACUGUGCUUCAAGACCGAUAUUCCAGCACUCAGUGUACCAGGCUUACAAAGUGUUUUGCAACUCUCUGGAGAAUAAAUCAAUAAUAUAUGCUUCUC
This is a long non-coding RNA of Lagopus leucura (white-tailed ptarmigan), 100 nucleotides long. RefSeq lists it as uncharacterized. The transcript is spliced from 3 exons. The record is from RefSeq and is a predicted model, not a curated record. NCBI's taxonomy places the organism in Eukaryota, Metazoa, Chordata, Aves, Galliformes, Phasianidae.